CCCUUAGAUGUUCUGGGCCGCACGCGCGCUACACUGAUGCAUUCAACGAGCCUAUCCUUGACCGACAGGUCCGGGUAAUCUUUGAAUCUGCAUCGUGACGGGGAUAGAUUAUUGCAAUUAUUAAUCUUCAACGAGGAAUGCCUAGUAGGCGCAAGUCAUCAGCUUGCGUCGAUUACGUCACUGCCCUUUGUACACACCGCCCGUCGCUCCUACCGAUUGGGUGUGCUGGUGAAAUGUUCGGAUCGGCCGUUUGUCGCGGUUUCCGCGUCAUGUGGCUGAGAAGUUCAUUAAACCCUCCCACCUAGAGGAAGGAGAAGUCGUAACA
This 325-nucleotide ribosomal RNA is filed under the name uncultured eukaryote. Its description in RNAcentral is "partial 18S ribosomal RNA". It matches the Rfam family "Eukaryotic small subunit ribosomal RNA", at positions 1470 to 1796 of the family's 1831-position model. The record is from RNAcentral.